UAUAUAUAUAUAUGAACUAGGCUGGAAUACUAUUAAUAGCACCAAUGGUUUGGUGUUAUUAAGUUUUCUGUCAUUGGAUUAAAAAAUAUGUGAUUAGGAUGAUGUGGGUUCCCUAGGGUUGAAUAAGUGGUUGGUUGAAUUGCAUAAUCUAACGGGUAAAAUUAAUCAAAGGAUUAAUUCUAAUGGUGAAAAACUCGAUAGCACCAAAUUUUUAGUGCUAUCGAUAGUACCCCAGCCAGUAUAUAUAUAUAUAUAUAUAGAGUUGAGCUGGAAUGCUAUCGAUAGCAAACGAAUUUUUUUGCCACCCAUUUGUUUUCGAUGAUGGAGCCUUCAAAUCGACGAUCGGCACUGUUGAACAUGAUCUAUACUACUUGAAAUAUCUAGAACCAAAUUUCAAAUCUUUUCGACAUCAUUGACCUAAUGAUCAAAGGGUUUCAAAAUUUGUAAUUUUAAUAGUAGAUAUGAAGUGUUUUCUCAUUUAACGGUGUAAAGCUAUCCAAAUCAAUUGAAUUUUGGUCAGAAAAUUUUUUAAACUAUUUAGAACAAGAUCUAUACUCUCGAUCUUGAUUACAAAAUUCCUAUCAUUACUUUUUAGAGGAUAUUCAUUUUCAGUCGUUUAUUUUUACGUCCACUUGAUAGGCUCAUAGAACAAUAUCGAAAAAGUAUGAAAUUUGAUUUCUAGAUACUUCAAGUGGUAUAGAUCAUGU
RNAcentral lists this long non-coding RNA (707 nucleotides) under Ananas comosus (pineapple). RNAcentral's name for it is "long non-coding RNA (ACOM_LNC037152)". The record is from RNAcentral. Lineage: Eukaryota; Viridiplantae; Streptophyta; Magnoliopsida; Poales; Bromeliaceae.